Molecule: transfer RNA, 70 nt
Filed under: Yongeichthys criniger (horny goby)
Lineage: Eukaryota; Metazoa; Chordata; Actinopteri; Gobiiformes; Gobiidae
Description: tRNA-Trp
Rfam family: tRNA
About the family: Transfer RNA (tRNA) molecules are approximately 80 nucleotides in length. Their secondary structure includes four short double-helical elements and three loops (D, anti-codon, and T loops).
Source: RNAcentral
AGGGGCUUAGGAUUAACUAGACCAAGGGCCUUCAAAGCCCUAAGCGGGAGUGAAAACCCCCCAGCCCCUG